RNAcentral lists this unclassified non-coding RNA (211 nucleotides) under Hevea brasiliensis (rubber tree). Lineage: Eukaryota; Viridiplantae; Streptophyta; Magnoliopsida; Malpighiales; Euphorbiaceae. The record is from RNAcentral.
AGAGAGAGAGAGAGAGAGAAACUUAUAGGAUACGAAAUGGAAGUUUGGAAUUGGAGUUACAGAACAGAGAAAGAAAGAGGGAAGAUUGAGCUGUGUUUGUGUUGAUAUAUUUGGGCGUGCCUUUUUGGCUCGCUUUUCCAGUACGCUGUGUAUACAGUUCCGGAUUCGAAAUUUUCUGUGGAUUUAAUUUUAUACAAGCGCGUGGAUUCCG